This 304-nucleotide long non-coding RNA is filed under the name Mytilus galloprovincialis (Mediterranean mussel). Lineage: Eukaryota; Metazoa; Mollusca; Bivalvia; Mytilida; Mytilidae. The record is from RNAcentral.
AAUGCAUACACAUGACUUCUUUUAGAGAACCACUGAAUGGAAUGAAACCAAACAUGGCAUGAAUGUUCGUUAUGAGGUGCUGACCAAGUGUUGUUACUUUGUAGCCGAUCCAUCAUUCAAGAUGGACGCCAGCGGGGGACUUAGUUUAACAUAGGACCCUAUGGGAAAUGCAUACAAAUGACUUCUUUUAGAAAACCACUGAAUGAAAUGAAACCAAACAUGGCAUGAAUGUUCCUUAUGUGGUUCUGACCAAGUGUUGUUACUUUAUAGCUGAUCCAUCAUUCAAGAUGGCCGCCUGCGGGGA